This is a non-coding RNA of Caenorhabditis elegans, 126 nucleotides long. NCBI's taxonomy places the organism in Eukaryota, Metazoa, Nematoda, Chromadorea, Rhabditida, Rhabditidae. The record is from Ensembl.
CGCCUCUCACUUCUCUUGUUCUAUUUGUUUUUGCGGGCAGAUGAUGAUGAGUGAGUGAUUUGAUUGGUUGCCCCUUGUGUGUGGUGGGCUGCCUAUCAAAUAGUCAUUCAUCACACUUUUUUGCGC